Long non-coding RNA from Bos indicus x Bos taurus (hybrid cattle), 739 nucleotides. The record is from Ensembl. NCBI's taxonomy places the organism in Eukaryota, Metazoa, Chordata, Mammalia, Artiodactyla, Bovidae.
GGGGCGGGGUGGGGGGGAGAGCUGGGGGGCGUUAGGGGGCAGCGGGGUUGGGGGGAGAGCUGGGGGGCGUUAGGGGGCAGCGGGGGAGGGGGGGAGAGCUGGCGGGGGGCGUCAGGGGGCGGGGGAGAGCCGGGGGCGGGGGAGCUGGGGGUGGGGGGGAGAGCCAGGGGGAGGCGUCAGGGGGCGCGGGGGCGGGGGAGAGCGGAGGGGCGAAGCCGGCUCGCAGGCCCGAGCCGGACUCCAGACUCCGAAGGGCGCGCGUUGCUGGGGCAGCCUUGGCUUUGGUCCCAGAAAAGCUGGCUACCCAAGGAGCGAGGAGGCAGGAGGAUAGGACUGCUGCCCCCAAGGUCAAGCCUCCGGUCUUUAUUCCACAAGCGCUUCACUCGGGAGUCGCGGAGCCCCGCGGCGGUUCCUCUGGACUUCGGACCUGGCCUGCUGGGUUGGAAUCUCUUCUCCACCCCUUCCUAGUUCUGGGCCAGGCCUCCUGCGGUGUCCAGGUUCUCUCUUGAACACGGAGCGGGUGGGGAGGGCAUCCAUGUGACCUGAAGACUAACUCUUUAAAACACACUUGGGACUUCCCUGGCGGUCCAGUGGUUAAGACUUUACCCUCCAACAAAGACGGUGUGGGUUUGAUCCCUGUUGGGGGAGCUAGGAUCCCACAGGCCUCAAGGCCAAACAAACCAAACUUAAAACAAAAGUAAUAUUGUAACACACUCAAUAAAGACUUUAAAAUAGUCCA